RNAcentral lists this ribosomal RNA (879 nucleotides) under uncultured bacterium. RNAcentral describes it as "bacterial SSU rRNA". It matches the Rfam family "Bacterial small subunit ribosomal RNA", at positions 8 to 916 of the family's 1533-position model. The record is from RNAcentral.
AGAGUUUGAUCAUGGCUCAGGAUGAACGCUGGCGGCGUGCCUAACACAUGCAAGUCGAGCGAUUCUCUUCGGAGAAGAGCGGCGGACGGGUGAGUAACGCGUGGGUAACCUGCCCUGUACACACGGAUAACAUACCGAAAGGUAUGCUAAUACGGGAUAAUGUACUUUUGUCGCAUGGCAGAAGUAUCAAAGCUCCGGCGGUACAGGAUGGACCCGCGUCUGAUUAGCUAGUUGGAGAGGUAAUGGCUCACCAAGGCAACGAUCAGUAGCCGACCUGAGAGGGUGAUCGGCCACAUUGGAACUGAGACACGGUCCAAACUCCUACGGGAGGCAGCAGUGGGGAAUAUUGCACAAUGGGCGAAAGCCUGAUGCAGCAACGCCGCGUGAGCGAUGAAGGCCUUCGGGUCGUAAAGCUCUGUCCUCAAGGAAGAUAAUGACGGUACUUGAGGAGGAAGCCCCGGCUAACUACGUGCCAGCAGCCGCGGUAAUACGUAGGGGGCUAGCGUUAUCCGGAAUUACUGGGCGUAAAGGGUGCGUAGGUGGUUUUUUAAGUCAGAAGUGAAAGGCUACGGCUCAACCGUAGUAAGCUUUUGAAACUGAGAAACUUGAGUGCAGAAGAGGAGAGUAGAAUUCCUAGUGUAGCGGUGAAAUGCGUAGAUAUUAGGAGGAAUACCAGUUGCGAAGGCGGCUCUCUGGACUGUAACUGACACUGAGGCACGAAAGCGUGGGGAGCAAACAGGAUUAGAUACCCUGGUAGUCCACGCCGUAAACGAUGAGUACUAGGUGUCUGGGGUUACCCCCCUCGGUGCCGCAGCUAACGCAUUAAGUACUCCGCCUGGGAAGUACGCUCGCAAGAGUGAAACUCAAAUGAAUUGACGG